Molecule: ribosomal RNA, 1346 nt
Filed under: uncultured bacterium
Lineage: Bacteria
Description: bacterial SSU rRNA
Rfam family: Bacterial small subunit ribosomal RNA
Source: RNAcentral
GACGAACGCUGGCGGCGUGCUUAACACAUGCAAGUCGAACGGAAAGGCCCUGCUUUUGUGGGGUGCUCGAGUGGCGAACGGGUGAGUAACACGUGAGUAACCUGCCCUUGACUUUGGGAUAACUUCAGGAAACUGGGGCUAAUACCGGAUAGGAGCUCCUGCUGCAUGGUGGGGGUUGGAAAGUUUCGGCGGUUGGGGAUGGACUCGCGGCUUAUCAGCUUGUUGGUGGGGUAGUGGCUUACCAAGGCUUUGACGGGUAGCCGGCCUGAGAGGGUGACCGGCCACAUUGGGACUGAGAUACGGCCCAGACUCCUACGGGAGGCAGCAGUGGGGAAUAUUGCACAAUGGGCGGAAGCCUGAUGCAGCAACGCCGCGUGCGGGAUGACGGCCUUCGGGUUGUAAACCGCUUUCGCCUGUGACGAAGCGUGAGUGACGGUAAUGGGUAAAGAAGCACCGGCUAACUACGUGCCAGCAGCCGCGGUGAUACGUAGGGUGCGAGCGUUGUCCGGAUUUAUUGGGCGUAAAGGGCUCGUAGGUGGUUGAUCGCGUCGGAAGUGUAAUCUUGGGGCUUAACCCUGAGCGUGCUUUCGAUACGGGUUGACUUGAGGAAGGUAGGGGAGAAUGGAAUUCCUGGUGGAGCGGUGGAAUGCGCAGAUAUCAGGAGGAACACCAGUGGCGAAGGCGGUUCUCUGGGCCUUUCCUGACGCUGAGGAGCGAAAGCGUGGGGAGCGAACAGGCUUAGAUACCCUGGUAGUCCACGCUGUAAACGGUGGGUACUAGGUGUGGGGUCCAUUCCACGGGUUCCGUGCCGUAGCUAACGCUUUAAGUACCCCGCCUGGGGAGUACGGCCGCAGGGCUAAAACUCAAAGGAAUUGACGGGGCCCCGCACAAGCGGCGGAGCAUGCGGAUUAAUUCGAUGCAACGCGUAGAACCUUACCUGGGUUUGACAUGGAUCGGGAGUGCUCAGAGAUGGGUGUGCCUCUUUUGGGGUCGGUUCACAGGUGGUGCAUGCCUGUCGUCAGCUCGUGUCGUGAGAUGUUGGGUUAAGUCCCGCAACGAGCGCAACCCUUGUUCACUGUUGCCAGCACGUUAUGGUGGGGACUCAGUGGAGACCGCCGGGGUCAACUCGGAGGAAGGUGGGGAUGACGUCAAGUCCUCAUGCCCCUUAUGUCCAGGGCUUCACGCAUGCUACAAUGGCUGGUACAGAGAGUGGCGAGCCUGUGAGGGUGAGCGAAUCUCGGAAAGCCGGUCUCAGUUCGGAUUGGGGUCUGCAACUCGACCUCAUGAAGUCGGAGUCGCUAGUAAUCGCAGAUCAGCAACGCUGCGGUGAAUACGUUCCCGGGGCU